This 492-nucleotide ribosomal RNA is filed under the name uncultured bacterium. RNAcentral describes it as "partial 16S ribosomal RNA". It matches the Rfam family "Bacterial small subunit ribosomal RNA", at positions 29 to 507 of the family's 1533-position model. The record is from RNAcentral.
AGUGAACGCUGGCGGUAGGCCUAACACAUGCCAGUCGAACGGCAGCACAGUAAGAGCUUGCUCUUACAGGUGGCGAGUGGCGGACGGGUGAGGAAUACAUCGGAAUCUACUUUUUCGUGGGGGAUAACGUAGGGAAACUUACGCUAAUACCGCAUACGACCUACGGGUGAAAGCAGGGGAUCUUCGGACCUUGCGCGAUUGAAUGAGCCGAUGUCGGAUUAGCUAGUUGGCGGGGUAAAGGCCCACCAAGGCGACGAUCCGUAGCUGGUCUGAGAGGAUGAUCAGCCACACUGGAACUGAGACACGGUCCAGACUCCUACGGGAGGCAGCAGUGGGGAAUAUUGGACAAUGGGCGCAAGCCUGAUCCAGCCAUACCGCGUGGGUGAAGAAGGCCUUCGGGUUGUAAAGCCCUUUUGUUGGGAAAGAAAAGCAGCAGGUUAAUACCCCGCUGUUCUGACGGUACCCAAAGAAUAAGCACCGGCUAACUUCGUG